Molecule: ribosomal RNA, 1158 nt
Filed under: Staphylococcus aureus
Lineage: Bacteria; Bacillati; Bacillota; Bacilli; Caryophanales; Staphylococcaceae
Description: bacterial SSU rRNA
Rfam family: Bacterial small subunit ribosomal RNA
Source: RNAcentral
UUAGCGGCGGACGGGUGAGUAACACGUGGAUAACCUACCUAUAAGACUGGGAUAACUUCGGGAAACCGGAGCUAAUACCGGAUAAUAUUUUGAACCGCAUGGUUCAAAAGUGAAAGACGGUCUUGCUGUCACUUAUAGAUGGAUCCGCGCUGCAUUAGCUAGUUGGUAAGGUAACGGCUUACCAAGGCAACGAUGCAUAGCCGACCUGAGAGGGUGAUCGGCCACACUGGAACUGAGACACGGUCCAGACUCCUACGGGAGGCAGCAGUAGGGAAUCUUCCGCAAUGGGCGAAAGCCUGACGGAGCAACGCCGCGUGAGUGAUGAAGGUCUUCGGAUCGUAAAACUCUGUUAUUAGGGAAGAACAUAUGUGUAAGUAACUGUGCACAUCUUGACGGUACCUAAUCAGAAAGCCACGGCUAACUACGUGCCAGCAGCCGCGGUAAUACGUAGGUGGCAAGCGUUAUCCGGAAUUAUUGGGCGUAAAGCGCGCGUAGGCGGUUUUUUAAGUCUGAUGUGAAAGCCCACGGCUCAACCGUGGAGGGUCAUUGGAAACUGGAAAACUUGAGUGCAGAAGAGGAAAGUGGAAUUCCAUGUGUAGCGGUGAAAUGCGCAGAGAUAUGGAGGAACACCAGUGGCGAAGGCGACUUUCUGGUCUGUAACUGACGCUGAUGUGCGAAAGCGUGGGGAUCAAACAGGAUUAGAUACCCUGGUAGUCCACGCCGUAAACGAUGAGUGCUAAGUGUUAGGGGGUUUCCGCCCCUUAGUGCUGCAGCUAACGCAUUAAGCACUCCGCCUGGGGAGUACGACCGCAAGGUUGAAACUCAAAGGAAUUGACGGGGACCCGCACAAGCGGUGGAGCAUGUGGUUUAAUUCGAAGCAACGCGAAGAACCUUACCAAAUCUUGACAUCCUUUGACAACUCUAGAGAUAGAGCUUUCCCCUUCGGGGGACAAAGUGACAGGUGGUGCAUGGUUGUCGUCAGCUCGUGUCGUGAGAUGUUGGGUUAAGUCCCGCAACGAGCGCAACCCUUAAGCUUAGUUGCCAUCAUUAAGUUGGGCACUCUAAGUUGACUGCCGGUGACAAACCGGAGGAAGGUGGGGAUGACGUCAAAUCAUCAUGCCCCUUAUGAUUUGGGCUACACACGUGCUACAAUGGACA